GUGUCAGCAGCCGCGGUAAUACGGAGGAUGCGAGCGUUAUCCGGAUUUAUUGGGUUUAAAGGGUCCGCAGGCGGGCUUGUAAGUCAGGGGUGAAAUCCGGCAGCUUAACUGUCGAACUGCCCUUGAAACUGCUAGUCUUGAGUGAGAAUGAAGUAGCUGGAAUGUGUGGUGUAGCGGUGAAAUGCAUAGAUAUCACACAGAACACCAAUAGCGUAGGCAGGUUACUAAUUCUUUACUGACGCUGAGGGACGAAAGCGUGGGGAUCAAACAGGAUUAGAUACCCUGGUAGUCCACGCCGUAAACGAUGGAUACUGUCUGUUGGGUCGCAAGAUUCAGUGGAUAAGCGAAAGUGAUAAGUAUCCCACCUGGGGAGUACGUUCGCAAGAAUGAA
RNAcentral lists this ribosomal RNA (391 nucleotides) under uncultured bacterium. Its description in RNAcentral is "bacterial SSU rRNA". It matches the Rfam family "Bacterial small subunit ribosomal RNA", at positions 505 to 898 of the family's 1533-position model. The record is from RNAcentral.